AUGGAAGCUCUGGCAAGCGAUCACCUAGCUGCCGUCAAGCACCUGCUUCGGUACAUCGCGGGUACGCUCACGCAUGGAUGCGUGUAUCGUCGUGGCGACGGCGAGAGCUUGGUCGGGUACAGCGACUCCGACCAUGCUGGUGACAUGGACUCUCGGAAAAGCACCUCAAGCAUACUAUUCCUUCUCGGGAAUAGUCUCGUCAGCUGGCAAUCAGUGAGGCAGAAGGUUGUCGCCGUAUCUUCGUGCGAGGCGGAGUACAUCACGGCAGUUACAGUGGCCUGUCAAGGCAUUUGGCUUGCUCGCCUUCUCGGCGAGAUGCUGAAUCAGGACACCCCCCUUGCGCUCAUCUUCGUCAACAUCAAGUCGGCGAUUUCCCUCUGCAAGAAUCCAGUGCUUCACGACCGCAGCAAGCACAUCGAUCUCCUCUAUCACUUCAUACGUGAUUGCGUCGAGAAAGGCACGGUGAUUGUGGAGUUCAUCAGGACUGGAGAGCAGAAGGCGGACAUCCUGACGAAGUCAGUUGGUCGUGUCCGGUUCCAGGAGUUUCGCGACAAGGUUGGGAUCAUCGACAUCAAGCUCCUUCGACAAGGUUGA
Molecule: ribosomal RNA, 594 nt
Filed under: Triticum aestivum (bread wheat)
Lineage: Eukaryota; Viridiplantae; Streptophyta; Magnoliopsida; Poales; Poaceae
Description: partial small subunit ribosomal RNA
Source: RNAcentral